RNAcentral lists this ribosomal RNA (322 nucleotides) under uncultured eukaryote. RNAcentral describes it as "partial 18S ribosomal RNA". It matches the Rfam family "Eukaryotic small subunit ribosomal RNA", at positions 1470 to 1796 of the family's 1831-position model. The record is from RNAcentral.
CCCUUAGAUGUUCUGGGCCGCACGCGUGCUACACUGAGUGGAUCAGCGGGUCAGGUUGCGCGAAAGCGUUUCCUAAUCUUUAAAUCCGCUCGUGAUGGGGAUUGACGGUUGCAAUUUUCUGUCAUGAACGAGGAAUACCUUGUAAGCGCGGGUCAUCAUCCCGCGCUGAAUACGUCCCUGCCCUUUGUACACACCGCCCGUCGCUCCUACCGAUUGGGUGUGCUGGUGAAAUGUUCGGAUCGGCCGUUUGUCGCGGUUUCCGCGUCAUGUGGCUGAGAAGUUCAUUAAACCCUCCCACCUAGAGGAAGGAGAAGUCGUAACA